This 500-nucleotide ribosomal RNA is filed under the name uncultured bacterium. RNAcentral describes it as "partial 16S ribosomal RNA". It matches the Rfam family "Bacterial small subunit ribosomal RNA", at positions 30 to 523 of the family's 1533-position model. The record is from RNAcentral.
AUUGAACGCUGGCGGCAUGCCUUACACAUGCAAGUCGAACGGCAGCGCGGACUUCGGUCUGGCGGCGAGUGGCGAACGGGUGAGUAAUACAUCGGAACGUACCCUGUUGUGGGGGAUAACUAGUCGAAAGAUUAGCUAAUACCGCAUACGACCUGAGGGUGAAAGUGGGGGACCGCAAGGCCUCACGCCGCAGGAGCGGCCGAUGUCUGAUUAGCUAGUUGGUGGGGUAAAGGCCCACCAAGGCGACGAUCAGUAGCUGGUCUGAGAGGACGAUCAGCCACACUGGGACUGAGACACGGCCCAGACUCCUACGGGAGGCAGCAGUGGGAAAUUUUGGACAAUGGGGGCAACCCUGAUCCAGCAAUGCCGCGUGUGUGAAGAAGGCCUUCGGGUUGUAAAGCACUUUUGUCCGGAAAGAAAUCGCGCUGGUUAAUACUUGGCGUGGAUGACGGUACCGGAAGAAUAAGCACCGGCUAACUACGUGCCAGCCGCCGCGGUAA